Molecule: transfer RNA, 83 nt
Filed under: bacterium
Lineage: Bacteria
Description: tRNA-Leu
Rfam family: tRNA
About the family: Transfer RNA (tRNA) molecules are approximately 80 nucleotides in length. Their secondary structure includes four short double-helical elements and three loops (D, anti-codon, and T loops).
Source: RNAcentral
GCCGGUGUGGCGGAAUGGUAGACGCGACGGACUUAAAAUCCGUUGUCCGCAAGGACGUGGGGGUUCGAGUCCCUUCACCGGCA